UGUUUAAUUUUGGCCGUAUAGGUUGGGUAGGCAAUUAGAAAGGGGUUGAGGAAGAAACCAAGGGAAGCUUUGUAGCUAAUACUUAUGCCUUUAAACUCCAGGUGUGAAUCCUCAAGAGAAUUGGGUUAUUUUGUUGUAGCCUUGGUUUCCAAAUAAUUGUAAGCACUGUAGGAAAUGGAUUGUGUCAGUGUAACAUGCCUUCUGGAUCACUCUGACUUUUCUCUGAGAAAAAUGAUUGCAAUCAAGGAACAAGAGUGCAAUCAGCUUAAAAGAGAGGGAUUUCCACAUCAUCAGGUCUUUGCUGGGCUGCCAAACAUCUGGAAACCUUGGACAAACAGCUCUUGCACAUGGAUAGAUUCUAUUGCAGUGAGUCCAAUACAUCAGGGUUUGUCCGAGUUGCUCUAUACAAGCUAUGGAAUGCAUAUUUCCACCUUAAUAUACAUCGUUUACUAGACAGAAAUAUGAAUCCUAUUCAGUGUGAUGGAUUGCACUUUGAUUUACAAUAUCAAAGAUUUGGAUCAUUUUAUGCUCCUAAGCAAACGUGGGUACAAAUUUUCAACAUUUUCAUGUGGUGAUUUAGAUUAUCUGUUUCUAUAAUUGUAUUGAAAAUUGAGCAGAGCACUUUUUUUUUUUUUUAUUAGUGACUUGAUAAUUUAGCUCAUGGAUGGUAUCAAAAUACUAGCUGUGAGUUGUCA
This 695-nucleotide long non-coding RNA is filed under the name Anser brachyrhynchus (Pink-footed goose). RNAcentral's name for it is "lncRNA (ENSABRG00000002509.1)". Lineage: Eukaryota; Metazoa; Chordata; Aves; Anseriformes; Anatidae. The record is from RNAcentral.